RNAcentral lists this long non-coding RNA (829 nucleotides) under Equus caballus (horse). RNAcentral describes it as "lncRNA (ENSECAG00000059298.1)". Lineage: Eukaryota; Metazoa; Chordata; Mammalia; Perissodactyla; Equidae. The record is from RNAcentral.
AUUGGCCCAGGUUUUAUUUAUUAGUGGGUGGCCUCGCUCUUUUAUAGUUAAAAAACAGGUUCUAUCCUUCUUUUUUUACCUACUGGGACAGAGGUUCAGAAGACCUUCUUUCAUUUUUUUGUCUCCAUAUUGUAAUCCCACUCUGGGUACCACUUUUCAGAGUUUUUGUACUUCCAAGAAUUGCCCAACCAGGAGAAGAGGCUAUGUUCUGAAAAGAACGACUAGGAGAAAUGAUGAACAUGUGAGGCGGAGCUCUCUAAGAGAUCCUUGGGCAAUGCUGGCCAACCCUCACAGAGACGCACGGUGGGGAUGGGGAACCUGCACAAGGGAGACAAAGUAUGCAGAUCUCCCAACAGACAGCGACCUGAACAUGGAUUUGGUACUGACUAAUGUGAGAAAGCCUGCUUCUUGAACUAUGCACCCCGGUACAUAGUUGUAUAUUCUUCGUUGUGGGUCCUUCUAAUUGUGGCAUGUGGGAUGCUGCCUCAGCAGGGUUUGAUGAGCAGUGCCAUGUCCUCACCCAGGAUUCGAACCAACGAAACACUGGGGCACCUGCAGCGGAGCGCGCAAACUUAACCACUCGGCCAUGGGGCCAGCCCCAAACUUUGGAGUAGUUUAAAAGGCUAAUUCUGAAUUGUUCUUCCUAAGUUUGGAGAAGAGUUUGUUGGUUACUCACCCAAAGUCAAAGCACUGAUUCAGACAGCACUGGAGAACAGUAGAUGCAGCAGGGUUAGAGUCAGUUAUAGAGAGAAUCAAAAGUGACCAGUGCCUGCACGUGGGAUGUGCGAAGAUAUGCUUUGUCCAAUCAAUGCACUGUUUAAUGUAUUCU